Asparagus officinalis (garden asparagus) is the source of this 426-nucleotide long non-coding RNA. RefSeq lists it as uncharacterized. The transcript has 2 exons. NCBI's taxonomy places the organism in Eukaryota, Viridiplantae, Streptophyta, Magnoliopsida, Asparagales, Asparagaceae. The record is from RefSeq and is a predicted model, not a curated record.
CCGUCGAAGCCGCUUCAUCCUCUCUCUCUCUCGACGCCGACGCAGGAAGAUGAUGAAUAGAUGAUGAAUAGAACUGGGACUGGCAAAGAGAACAUCCAAGUAGCUUAGACUGUGUAUGGUUCUUUCCUGUUAUAUCUUCGUGGAGGACAUUUAGCUGUGUGUGCUUAUAUCUUACUAUUUGGAGCCUGAAAGUGGAGGACAAUGAGUUGUAACUUUUUCUGUUUUGAAACAAGAAAAUGUAUCAAAUUUGUGAGAGUUUAUUUGAAAUUUGGAAGGGCUUGUUUGUGGCUGUUGUUUAUUUGAGUUUAUUUGAGAAUAAUCAAAUGCUGGCCAUGUCUAACGAGUUUGCCUGCUGUUGUUGCUGCUUGUAAUUUGUGAUAUUCAUUGUUCUUGUAAUGUUGUUGCUGCUGGACAUGUACUUGAGAA